GAGUCCGUAGCUCAAUAGGUAGAGCAUCCGUCUUUUAAACGGGUUUAUACGGGUUCAAGGCCCGUCGUACUCA
This 73-nucleotide transfer RNA is filed under the name Gigaspora margarita. Its description in RNAcentral is "tRNA-Lys". It matches the Rfam family "tRNA". Rfam says of the family: Transfer RNA (tRNA) molecules are approximately 80 nucleotides in length. The record is from RNAcentral. RNAcentral also lists the same sequence under 1 other name. Lineage: Eukaryota; Fungi; Glomeromycota; Glomeromycetes; Diversisporales; Gigasporaceae.